UUGGUCUAGUUACAUGCAGCCAUGUCUGAGCUAAAUAACCAGCCUUCCUCCUCCAAUUCUUUUUCCCAAUACAUUUCCCAGCACAGCUUCCAUAUGUAUCUUCUCUGAUUUUCAUCUGAGUUUGAUCUCAAAGAUGCUCACCCCUAGAAGAAUCUAAAGCCACUCUUUCAAAAUUAGUGGAUGGGUCCACCUGAGUGUUUUCAUUUCCAGAUUGCCAGAUGUCUCUUCGUUUUUUUCUUUUUCUUUUCUUUUUUUAAAACUUUUUUUAAAAAAGCUGAUUUACAAUUUUGUGCCAAUUUCUGCUGUACAGCAAGGCAGCCCAGUCCUACCUAGAUAUGCAUUCUUUUAGAGAUGGCUCUUCUGGAAGGGCAAAGUAGCAUAAAUGAACAUUUCUAUGCCUAUGGUUAUUCAGGACAGCAUGUUCCUCCAGAGAGAAACCAAACUUGUUCAAGGGAAGAGGAAGUAGAGAAAGACAUGGUAUUCACUUGAGUUUCCAUUAAUGGAUUCCCAAGGAGCCGUGAGGUAACACACAACAAAGGAGUGUAAGGGAUGAAUCUGUGCUGGAAAUUGCUUAGGAGGCUCAAACCAGACCAAUUUGUUAUGAGGCCAUUUAGGAGCUGUCUCCCAAGGAGGUUUGAUCAUCACUUUCCCUUGUUUUUCGGCAGCGAGGGGGCCCCACUGCCCAAAGGAAAGCAUCAGUCAGACAACUGUCUUUGAGGGAUAAAGACACGAGGGAGAGUCUUUUCAGGCCAGGCUGUUUCCUCAGAAGCCUAAGUGGCCAUUCUGAUGACUCAUGAGAGGGGAUUCAGAUUCUCAAGGGUGAGAGUUGUGGUGAGGAGGAGGAGGGUGCUGAUGGUGAAGGGGAGGGAAGUUAUGAUGAUGAUGGUGGGGAUAAUGAUGCUGAAGAUAACAGUGAUGGUGAAGGCGGUGAUGAUGUUGAUGGUGGAAGUGAUGGUCAUGAUGGUGGAGUGACUGAUGAUGAUGGUGGAAGUGAUGGUCAUGAUGGUGGAGAUGACGGUAAAGAUGGUGGAGGUGACGAUGAUGAUGGUGGAAGUGACGGUAAAGAUGGUGGAGGUGACUGUGAUGAUGGUGGAAGUGAUGGUCAUGAUGGUGGAGGUGAUGGUCAUGAUGGAGAUGACGGUAAAAUGGUGGAGGUGACUGUGAUGAUAGUGGAGGUGACAGUGAUGAUGGUGAUGUUGGUGAUGGUGGAGGUGAUGGUCAUGAUGGUGGAGAUGACGGUAAAGAUGGUGGAUGUGACUGUGAUGAUGGUGGAAGUGACGGUAAAGAUGGUGGAGGUGACUGUGAUGAUGGUGGAAGUGAUGGUCAUGAUGGUGGAGAUGAUGGUUAAGAUGGUGGAUGUGACUGUGAUGAUGGUGGAAGUGACGGUAAAGAUGGUGGAGGUGACUGUGAUGAUGGUGGAAGUGAUGGUCAUGAUGGUGGAGGUGAUGGCCAUGAUGGAGAUGACGGUAAAAUGGUGGAGGUGACUGUGAUGAUAGUGGAGGUGACAGUGAUGAUGGUGAUACUGGUGAUGGUGGAGGUGACGGUGAUGAUGGUGGUGUUGGUGAUGAUGGUGGUGUCGGUGAUGAUGGGAUGAAGGUAAUGGUGAUGACCUUCAUGAUGCUUUUUGCUAAUAAGCUGUCAGGCUCCUAUCACGUAGACAAUAAGAUCGUGCACACGUGAGCUUUGGGUUAUCUUGCGAGAUCUUCCUUUUUGGUCUUAUUAAAUGUGGCUUAAGGAAAACAUCCAAAGUCUGUUUUAGACACUGUGUGGGAAUGACCAAGGCUUGUCCCAGAAUUUCUACCCAAGAUUUUGGAAGGGAGGAUGGGGCAGAGCUGUUGGUCUUUUGUCCACUCAUUUGUUUGACCUAUGGGUAGUGUGGUCAUUCUUGAAAUCAGUACUGCACAUGAAACCAUAUAUAUUAAAAAUAAAGAAGCAGGUUGUGAUGGAAUGUGAUGGAAG
RNAcentral lists this long non-coding RNA (1959 nucleotides) under Sus scrofa (pig). RNAcentral's name for it is "lncRNA (ENSSSCG00050063516.1)". Lineage: Eukaryota; Metazoa; Chordata; Mammalia; Artiodactyla; Suidae. The record is from RNAcentral.